Long non-coding RNA from Nylanderia fulva, 386 nucleotides. RefSeq lists it as uncharacterized. Lineage: Eukaryota; Metazoa; Arthropoda; Insecta; Hymenoptera; Formicidae. The record is from RefSeq and is a predicted model, not a curated record.
GCUAUGAAGUCGUUCGUAGAUGCAGCUCAUCUAUUGUUAUUGGCAGAAAUUACAUCGUAGCAGAGUUACAUCGUGGCAGAGUUACAUUGUGGCUACAUGAAAACAAGUGUCUAAAACUUGGUAGUAUUGUGAUACAGUGCGAUUCACGCGUCGUGUCAGGAGUGUCGUAUAUAUAAAACAUCGCGCGUCGGGAGUGCCGUGUAAAGUUUCGCGCGUCGAGAGUGCCGUGUAAAGUGUCGGGCGAUCGUAAUUAUUCGUAUUUUCGCGAGUGUUGUGAGUGCUACCAAGAGAGGAGGAGGAGACAUCGGGCAACAGCGGGGCAACUGAGAGAUCAACAUGCUGUGUGCUACAACUCCGCUCAUCGUUUGCUGCAAUUGUACGUACCG